AUGGUUCUUCUUCUCUACUCCUUCUACAAACACUUAUUUCCUUCAUAUGUUUCAGCCAUUCUUGUUACUUCAUUUUGCCCUUCCAUGCCUUUUUGUUGCCACCAAUAACAAAAAUACACAAAAGUAUGUCAUAAAAUUACAAAAACAAAGUGGUAAAAAGAAAAAAAAUCAUUCUUUUAGGCUUACAAGGACAAGAGGAAGUCCAGGGGAGUUGAACAUGAUCUUGGCAAGAGAUUGAGGAAGAAGUCUUGAUUGAGAAAUUAUACCAGUGAGCAUAUUGUUAUCAUUGUUGUGAUUGUUGCUGCUAUUGUUAUUGAAUGGUAUACAACAACAAUUCUUGCACCUUAACCACCAGAAUUAUUUCCAGAAACCCCCCAAAAUUCAUGAAAAUAAACCAACAAAGUCUCAAAAAACACAACUUUAUUUAUAUAUGUGUGUAUAUAUGAAAGAUUCAGUGUUAUCUUUUUGAGCUAAAAAUCAACAAAAAAUCAUAGUAUGUUGAAUUUUAAGGUGAUUGUUUGUGAUUUUUGUGAUACUAAUGGUUGUAUUGUGAUUCCGAUAAUGAAAUUUAUGGUGGAUUCUUAAAAUUAUUAUGAUGAAGAUUUGAGUUUGAUGAUAAUGGUGUUAAUGGUGGUGUUUUAAUGGUGAUUUUGGUAAAGAAGAAGCAAUGGGUGACAUGAAAUUUUAAAAAAAAAAUUGACAUAAUAUCUGAUGUGGUAAUGACAUGACGAUGAUGUGGCACGAGUGUAAAU
This 752-nucleotide long non-coding RNA is filed under the name Capsicum annuum. RNAcentral's name for it is "long non-coding RNA (CANN_LNC015999)". The record is from RNAcentral. Lineage: Eukaryota; Viridiplantae; Streptophyta; Magnoliopsida; Solanales; Solanaceae.